This 305-nucleotide ribosomal RNA is filed under the name uncultured bacterium. Its description in RNAcentral is "bacterial SSU rRNA". It matches the Rfam family "Bacterial small subunit ribosomal RNA", at positions 333 to 635 of the family's 1533-position model. The record is from RNAcentral.
CACCGCCUACGGGAGGCAGCAGUGAGGAAUAUUGGUCAAUGGGCGCGAGCCUGAACCAGCCAAGUAGCGUGAAGGAUGACUGCCCUAUGGGUUGUAAACUUCUUUUAUAAAGGAAUAAAGUGAGGCACGUGUGCCUUUUUGUAUGUACUUUAUGAAUAAGGAUCGGCUAACUCCGUGCCAGCAGCCGCGGUAAUACGGAGGAUCCGAGCGUUAUCCGGAUUUAUUGGGUUUAAAGGGAGCGUAGAUGGGUUGUUAAGUCAGUUGUGAAAGUUUGCGGCUCAACCGUAAAAUUGCAAUUGAUACUG